CCUACGGGUGGCAGCAGUGAGGAAUAUUGGUCAAUGGGCGGGAGCCUGAACCAGCCAAGUAGCGUGAAGGAUGACUGCCCUACGGGUUGUAAACUUCUUUUACAAAGGAAUAAAAUGAGGCACGUGUGCCUUUUUGCAUGUACUUUAUGAAUAAGGGUCGGCUAACUCCGUGCCAGCAGCCGCGGUAAUACGGAGGGCCCGAGCGUUAUCCGGAUUCAUUGGGAUUAAAGGGAGCGUAGUUGGGUGUUAAAGUCAUUUGUAAAAUUGCGCGGCUCAACCGUACAGUGAAAUUGAUACUGGAAGCCUUGAGUUCAGUAGAGGCAGGCGGAAUUCGUGGUGUAGUGGUGAAAUGCAUAGAUAUCACGAAGAACCCCGAUUGCGAAGGCAGCUUAC
Molecule: ribosomal RNA, 393 nt
Filed under: uncultured bacterium
Lineage: Bacteria
Description: partial 16S ribosomal RNA
Rfam family: Bacterial small subunit ribosomal RNA
Source: RNAcentral